RNAcentral lists this unclassified non-coding RNA (168 nucleotides) under soil metagenome. RNAcentral's name for it is "partial internal transcribed spacer 1". The record is from RNAcentral.
CAGGACUCGCAAGACUCCCGUAAACCACUGUGAACUUACCUACAACCCGUUGCCUCGGCGGGUGCUCCGGGUGCGUCUUCGGGCGCUCCGGGGCGCUCCAGCCCGCCGGCGGCCCCUAAACUCUGUCUCUGUAACGUUGGCAUCUCCGAGCAGACUAUAAACGAGUCA